Molecule: ribosomal RNA, 547 nt
Filed under: uncultured bacterium
Lineage: Bacteria
Description: partial 16S ribosomal RNA
Rfam family: Bacterial small subunit ribosomal RNA
Source: RNAcentral
UGGGGAAUAUUGGACAAUGGGCGGAAGCCUGAUCCAGCAACGCCGCGUGAGGGAUGACGGCCUUCGGGUUGUAAACCUCUUUCAGUACCGACGAAGCGAAAGUGACGGUAGGUACAGAAGAAGGACCGGCCAACUACGUGCCAGCAGCCGCGGUAAUACGUAGGGUCCGAGCGUUGUCCGGAAUUAUUGGGCGUAAAGGGCUCGUAGGCGGUUUGUCGCGUCGGGAGUGAAAACAGCGGGCUUAACUCGUUGCUUGCUUUCGAUACGGGCAGACUAGAGGUAUGCAGGGGAGAAUGGAAUUCCUGGUGUAGCGAUGAAAUGCGCAGAUAUCAGGAGGAACACCGGUGGCGAAGGCGGUUCUCUGGGCAUUACCUGACGCUGAGGAGCGAAAGGUGUGGGGAGCGAACAGGAUUAGAUACCCUGGUAGUCCACACCGUAAACGUUGGGCGCUAGGUGUGGGGUCCUUUGCCACGGAUUCCGUGCCGUAGCUAACGCAUUAAGCGCCCCGCCUGGGGGAGUACGGCCGCAAGGCUCAAAACUUAAAGUG